AUGGAUUUUGUGCUUGGAUUACCUAGGACUCAAAAUGGCAAGGAUUCUGUAUUUGUUGUUGUGGACCGAUUCUUUAAAAUGGCUCAUUUCAUCCCAUGCAAUAAGAUAGAUGAUGCUUCACAUGUUGCAAAUCUUUUUUGUAGGGAAAUCUUGAAGUUACAUGGAGUUCCAAAGACAAUUGUGUCAGACCGAGACGUCAAGUUCCUAAGCUACUUUUGGAAGACGCUAUGCGCCAAGAUCGGCAUUAAGCUACUAUUCUCCACCGCCUAUCACCCUCAAACCGAUGGCCAAACGGAAGUCACCAACCAGACGCUCUCCACUCUCCUAUGUGUGUUGAUCAAGAAGAACAUCAAGGAGUGGGAGGAGUGCUUACCGAUUGCCGAGUAUGCCUACAACCUCGCAAGACACUCUACUACCGGCAAUUCCCCCUUCAAGGUUGUCUACGGCUUCAACCCUUUGUCGCCCUUGGACAUCCUUCCUCUACCGCUCCAAGAACGAGCAAACAUGGAUGCUAGAGCAAGAGCCACCUACCUCAAGAAGAUGCAUGAAGAAACAAGGUCCAUGAUUGAGCGUCAAGUACACAGCCUCGCCACCAAGGUCAACAUCAGCAACUCACUAAUGGUGUUCAAACCGGGCGAUCUCGUAUGGGUACAUCUCCGCAAUGACCGCUUCCCCAAGGAGCACAAAUCCAAGCUACUUCCGAGAGCCGAUGGACCCUUCAAGGUGCUCGCACGCUACAAUUAA
Molecule: ribosomal RNA, 744 nt
Filed under: Triticum aestivum (bread wheat)
Lineage: Eukaryota; Viridiplantae; Streptophyta; Magnoliopsida; Poales; Poaceae
Description: partial small subunit ribosomal RNA
Source: RNAcentral